AGAUUGAACGCUGACGGCAUGCUUUACACAUGCAAGUCGAACGGCAGCACGGGGGCAACCCUGGUGGCGAGUGGCGAACGGGUGAGUAAUGCAUCGGAACGUAUCCUUAAGUGGGGGAUAACGCAUCGAAAGAUGCGCUAAUACCGCAUAAUCUCUGAGGAGAAAAGCAGGGGAUCGCAAGACCUUGCGCUUUUGGAGCGGCCGAUGUCUGAUUAGCUAGUUGGUGAGGUAAAGGCUUACCAAGGCUUCGAUCAGUAGCUGGUCUGAGAGGACGACCAGCCACACUGGGACUGAGACACGGCCCAGACUCCUACGGGAGGCAGCAGUGGGGAAUUUUGGGACAAGUGGGGGCAACCCGUGAUCCAGCCAUGCCGCGUGAGUGAAGAGGCUCGGUUGUAAGCUCUUCAGCCGAACGAACGGUUACGUUAAGUAACCGUGACUAAUGACGGUACGAAGAAGAA
Molecule: ribosomal RNA, 461 nt
Filed under: uncultured soil bacterium
Lineage: Bacteria
Description: bacterial SSU rRNA
Rfam family: Bacterial small subunit ribosomal RNA
Source: RNAcentral